Molecule: ribosomal RNA, 465 nt
Filed under: uncultured Methanosaeta sp.
Lineage: Archaea; Methanobacteriati; Methanobacteriota; Methanomicrobia; Methanotrichales; Methanotrichaceae
Description: bacterial SSU rRNA
Rfam family: Archaeal small subunit ribosomal RNA
Source: RNAcentral
AGCACCACAACGGGUGGAGCUUGCGGUUUUAAUUGGAUUCAACGCCGGAAAUCUUACCGGGACCGACAGCAAUAUGAAGGCCAGGCUGAAGACUUUGCCGGAUUAGCUGAGAGGAGGUGCAUGGCCGUCGUCAGUUCGUACUGUGAAGCAUCCUGUUAAGUCAGGCAACGAGCGAGACCCACGCCCACAGUUGCCAGCGUACUCUCUGGAGUGACGGGUACACUGUGGGGACCGCCGCUGCUAAAGCGGAGGAAGGAAUGGGCAACGGUAGGUCAGUAUGCCCCGAAUAUCCCGGGCUACACGCGAGCUACAAUGGUUGGUACAAUGGGUAUCUACCCCGAAAGGGGACGGGAAUCUCCUAAAACCAAUCUUAGUUCGGAUUGAGGGCUGCAACUCGCCCUCAUGAAGCUGGAAUCCGUAGUAAUCGCGUUUCAACAGAACGCGGUGAAUACGUCCCUGCUCCUU